This 561-nucleotide long non-coding RNA is filed under the name Fragaria vesca (wild strawberry). Its description in RNAcentral is "long non-coding RNA (FVES_LNC004416)". Lineage: Eukaryota; Viridiplantae; Streptophyta; Magnoliopsida; Rosales; Rosaceae. The record is from RNAcentral.
AAAAGAGCACAACCCACCUAUGUGUUAGUCUCCCCCUGAAGUCUACACUCCCCCUGACUUUUACAUCAAUCAAGGGUGCUAGGAACGUCCUCACAUUCCUAUGUUUCUCACAGGGUAUCGUUGUUUUCCUAAUGGUGAAUACAUGACCAUUUUGGAAACAACCUAUUGGUCGUAUAUAGAUACUUUGCAUUAGUAAUGACCUACCAAAGCAUUGCUUGGUGUAUUGGUGUAGGAGAUUACAGUUCCAUCUGCAUUCCCUUUCGACUUGCUUUUGGGAUAUGAUGAAUCUAAGUCAAUGGUUUCUUUAUGUAUCAUGAUACAUUUUAGUGACGUUGCGUUGGCGCUUGAACAAGUUCAAAUGAGAAUGUAUUACUCGGUCGUGUUCAUUGGGCUAAGUACAAUAUUGUGCCUAUUGCACUUUUAGAAAAGAGUCUUCAUUUCUCUACCCUUCUUGGUCAUCUUCCUUUGGACGAAAUGGAUUUUCCUUUACAUCCAAACAACAGCCGAUCAUUGGAAGUGCUAACAGUAUGCAUUUUGUCCAUGUAAAUCGCCUAAGAAUCU